AUGAACGCUGGCGGCGUGCCUAAUACAUGCAAGUCGAGCGAACAGAUGAGGAGCUUGCUCCUCUGACGUUAGCGGCGGACGGGUGAGUAACACGUGGAUAACCUACCUAUAAGACUGGGAUAACUUCGGGAAACCGGAGCUAAUACCGGAUAAUAUAUUGAACCGCAUGGUUCAAUAGUGAAAGACGGUUUUGCUGUCACUUAUAGAUGGAUCCGCGCCGCAUUAGCUAGUUGGUAAGGUAACGGCUUACCAAGGCAACGAUGCGUAGCCGACCUGAGAGGGUGAUCGGCCACACUGGAACUGAGACACGGUCCAGACUCCUACGGGAGGCAGCAGUAGGGAAUCUUCCGCAAUGGGCGGAAGCCUGACGGAGCAACGCCGCGUGAGUGAUGAAGGUCUUCGGAUCGUAAAACUCUGUUAUUAGGGAAGAACAAAUGUGUAAGUAACUAUGCACGUCUUGACGGUACCUAAUCAGAAAGCCACGGCUAACUACGUG
This 496-nucleotide ribosomal RNA is filed under the name uncultured bacterium. RNAcentral's name for it is "partial 16S ribosomal RNA". It matches the Rfam family "Bacterial small subunit ribosomal RNA", at positions 29 to 507 of the family's 1533-position model. The record is from RNAcentral.